AGAGUUGAUCCUGGCUUAGAACGAACGCUGGCGGCGCGUCUUAAGCAUGCAAGUCGAACGGCAAGAGGUAGCAAUACCUCCUAGAGUGGCGGACUGGUGAGUAACACGUGGGUGACAUACCCUUCAGAUGGGGAUAGCUAUUAGAAAUAGUAGAUAAUACCGAAUACGAGCACAGGGGUUAGAGAUCUGUGAGGAAAGGAGCUAAGGCUCCGCUGAAGGAAUGGCCUGCGGCCCAUUAGCUAGUUGGUGAGGUAAGAGCCCACCAAGGCGAUGAUGGGUAUCCGGCCUUAGAGGGUGAACGGACACAUUGGGACUGAGAUACGGCCCAGACUCCUACGGGAGGCAGCAGCUAAGAAUAUUCCGCAAUGGACGAAAGUCUGACGGAGCGACGCCGCGUGGAUGAAGAAGGCCGGAAGGUUGUAAAAUCCUUUUGAAACUGAAGAAUAAGCGUUGUAGGGAAUGACAGCGUGGUGACAGUAGGUUUUGAAUAAGCAACGGCUAAUUACGUGCCAGCCGCGGC
Molecule: ribosomal RNA, 520 nt
Filed under: uncultured bacterium
Lineage: Bacteria
Description: bacterial SSU rRNA
Rfam family: Bacterial small subunit ribosomal RNA
Source: RNAcentral